UACGGAGGGUGCGAGCGUUGUCCGGAAUCACUGGGCGUAAAGGGCGCGUAGGCGGCGCGGGAAGUCAUCGGUGAAAAGUUCAGGGCUCAACUCUGAAUCGGCCGGUGAUACUCUCGUGCUCGAGCACUGUAGAGGCAGGUGGAAUUCCGGGUGUAGCGGUGGAAUGCGUAGAGAUCCGGAAGAACACCGGUGGCGAAGGCGGCCUGCUGGGCAGUAGCUGACGCUGAUGCGCGACAGCGUGGGGAGCAAACAGG
RNAcentral lists this ribosomal RNA (254 nucleotides) under uncultured bacterium. RNAcentral describes it as "partial 16S ribosomal RNA". It matches the Rfam family "Bacterial small subunit ribosomal RNA", at positions 524 to 776 of the family's 1533-position model. The record is from RNAcentral.